Long non-coding RNA from Setaria italica (foxtail millet), 2590 nucleotides. RefSeq lists it as uncharacterized. The record is from RefSeq and is a predicted model, not a curated record. Lineage: Eukaryota; Viridiplantae; Streptophyta; Magnoliopsida; Poales; Poaceae. The transcript has 12 exons.
CCACCUGGUACCUGUGGUGCUAAUUAGAUGAAGAACAAUAGCAAACCACCAUCCAAGAUUGUUCAGCGAUCUCAUGCCGAAUCAAGCUGUGCCAGGGAUCUUCUUCAUAAUGAUGAUAAUGAUGAUGAUGCUGCCUUCAUGGAACCCCGUGAAGGCAACCAGUUGCCAAGAAACAGUGCAUCAAUGCAAGUGUAGCAGCCAAUGCAACUGGCAAGCCUUCCAAGAAUCCAGAGUAUGCUCAUGCACUCAUAGUUCGGUGUGCCCCAUCAACAUUCAACUCGUUUGUCGAACAUCUAACGAACAUCUAACCUUACUGCAACGCAGGAGAAUCAUAGAUAUGGGUUUUGGUGGCCUCCUGUGUCUUUCAGCAGAGAGGCUAGAGAGCAGGGAACUAUUAAAGUUCUUGUUCGACAGGCUAGACCCCAAAACUAUGGUAAUCAAUGUUAACAACAAGGCAAUCCAUGUCAUCCCAUUUGCUGUCAAACAAGUGCUUGACUUACCGGACAGAGGUGAAAUUCUAAGUUUGCAUACACACACGCAAGCAUCCAAGGCGUUGUCUGCUUUCAAGUCAUUAGUGGGUCUAGAAGAAUCCCAGGACCUCCAUGUUAGUCAUCUCCAAAAGAUAGUUAAGGAUGAUCAUGAGCUGGGGACUGCCCCCAUUGAUGAUGACAUGGCUAUAAUUUUUCUUUAUCAUUACUUGCAGCAAACUGUUUUUCCCAAGCACUGAUAAUAACAUGAGAUGCAAGGAUGUUUACCUUACUAGGGACCUAUCUCGCUUGCCGGGUUUUAACUGGUGCAAGGCAGUUGUGAAUGACCUACGAGAUGCUCCAGUCACUUGGGAGGUUGACAAAGCGAAUAAAUCACUCUCAGGAUGUUCAAUAUUACUGAUUAUACUGUAUUUGGACAACCUACAAUGCAAAGAUCGGAUUGUGCACACCAACACUCCUCGCGCAAAGUAUUUUGAUCAAAAUGUGAUAAAAAAGUUAAUUAGUGCCGAUAGGACCAAAGACCAACAAGGGAAGUCUACAUUUGGGCUGUUACCGCUUAGGAACAACAUCAAUACUUGCUACUAUAUGCCUCAGCACCUAUCUUCAAAUGUCCCACCAUCCAUUGAACCGUUGGCAACACAUUUUCCCAACAUGCAAGCAGAAUUGCAUGAAUUAGUUGAUCAGAUUGGUAGCAGAUCCAGGAAGAUGCGAGCAAUGCUAGCAUUGGAAAAUUUUGAUGCCGAAGCUAAGAAAGCAUUGAGCUAUAUGAACAUUGGGCAACAGAUGCUAUAGGAUGCGCAUGAGGUAGUCAUUCACACUCUUCGGACAAUUUUGAAUAACAAGGUGCAUGGCAACAAUAUUGAAGAACAUAAUGAUCAGCCCCACGCUUCUGAUGCAGAUGAAGCCGAUGACAAUGACAUGUAUGAUGGCCACAACAGUGCGCAUAAUAUAGGAUCUGAACAUGCAUCUAAUGUGCCAAAUAUUCAAUCUGAAACAAUGGAGAGUGAUAUGUCUUCUGGUGCUCACACAAACCACGAACUUCACCAGGAUGCACGUGUUGAAUUGCAACAAAAUAGGACUCAAGAACAAGUUUUACCAACAUCCAACACAUUGCACAAUACUAUUAAUUAUAAUUAUAGCUUCACCUAUCCCAAUGUUCACACAGAUGUGACGAUUGAUCAUGUCGUGCCUCCUAUUGCGGCUAAAGGAAACACCGCCACAGCCUCUCCAAUCAGCAUUGCAGGCACCCACAAUAUUGUUGGCGAAGCACCCCCACACCUGGAUUCCCUAGUUCACCUCGCAGAUGCAUCUACUACCGGUACUAUCCACCCGCAAGCUGCAACUGCUAACAUGACUAUACCAAUAGCCAAUGUUUAUUCACAUCCUGACAAACAAGUAACAGAUAAGGAAUCGAGACCACCACAGAUGAUGCACUUGGCCCUAUUCUUUUACAGCCUUGCACACAAGUUGAGAUCAUCCAUUGUCCAGACAUUGCUUUGAGGCCACAGCGGCUUCCAAAAAAACAAGCCAUGUAUGUGUCCCAUUUUAAAGGCGAUCCACAAAGAGCAAAAGCUCCAUAGAUAAAAGAACAUGUUGACUGCCAUGAAAUGCAAAAGUGAUAUUUUCAUCCGCACCAGCUUUAGAGAAUUCAGUGGAUCAGAAAUAUCAGAGUCUUUCCUUGAUGGCGAGAUGCUUUCCACCCAAUUUAUGUCAUACUUUGUUGCCUGCAUGAGCUAUGAUGAAUGCCACAUGGCCGAUGGUGGUGGGUACAAGAUCUUCCUGUCUCAAGAGCUUGGGAAUGUGUCAAUAUAGAGGAAGAUGAAGAUUUCUCUCAGUGGGAAUCACAUCAGGCCCUAGCUGUUUUACAAUGAGAUAUUGGAGAUCUUGACCCAACUAAAGUGAAACUAUCCCUUUUGCCGGUUAGGAGGAGGAGCACUAUAGCAUAUACUGCAUCAACUUUAUACACAACCGCAUUGAUGUACUUGAUUCAAGUCCUGGGUGACCGAAUUAUUCGACAGCUUAAUCUCUUGUUCCAGUUGGCAAUAUAUUUUAAAAUAAAGCAAUUUACUAGAUUCAAGCGUCCUAUCAUUGACGUAUGUAUG